AAGUGGAAUCACUGCAGGCAGAGAGACACAGAGAGAGGGAGAGAAAGGAGGCUAGAAAGAGAUCUGCCUGACUUUGAAGGCAAGAGGAUCCUUCCAGCUGCCCAACAAAUAAAAUUAGAAAUAAUUUUGAGUUUAUUUUCUUUGCUGCUUGCUCUCUCUCUCUCUCUCUCUCUCUCGCUUUCUCCCUCUCUCUCUCU
Molecule: microRNA precursor, 197 nt
Filed under: Drosophila guanche
Lineage: Eukaryota; Metazoa; Arthropoda; Insecta; Diptera; Drosophilidae
Source: RNAcentral